AGGAAUAUGGUCUAAUGGUUACGACGCCUCGCUUACAUCGAGGAAAGUUUGGGUUCGAUUCCCAAUGUUCCUA
Molecule: transfer RNA, 73 nt
Filed under: Haloarcula tailed virus 2
Lineage: Duplodnaviria; Heunggongvirae; Uroviricota; Caudoviricetes; Thumleimavirales; Soleiviridae
Rfam family: tRNA
About the family: Transfer RNA (tRNA) molecules are approximately 80 nucleotides in length. Their secondary structure includes four short double-helical elements and three loops (D, anti-codon, and T loops).
Source: Rfam by way of RNAcentral